GGGGGCGAUUGGAGUUGACGGGAUGAUGUCCGGUCAGGUUGCGAGCCGAGGAGCCUAUGGCCUCGUAAAAAUGGGCAAAAAAACAAAUGCAAAAACGAAUAACUUCGCUACUGCACGCAACAUCGCUCCGGCGACGUUCGCAUACGCCGCCUAACUUCGGUUAGGUGCGCACCGCCCCUUCUCGAACUGGCGAAAUGGUCGAGAGGCGGCUAACCAACAUUCGCUACCCGGUGGCAAAGCACGUAGCCAUCGCGGGAAAAUAACGCGCUUACCAAAGCGGUAGCCGGUAAACGGGCGACCACGCGGGAAAAUUAAAUCGUAGACUACGCUCGUAGAUGCUUGUAUUAGGUACGUUUCGGACCAGAGUUCGAGUCUCUGCGCCUCCACUA
RNAcentral lists this transfer-messenger RNA (389 nucleotides) under Armatimonadaceae. RNAcentral's name for it is "JACMIU01 sp014380985 Standard tmRNA". It matches the Rfam family "transfer-messenger RNA". Rfam says of the family: Bacterial tmRNA, also known as 10Sa RNA or SsrA, is named for its dual tRNA and mRNA-like properties. Its role is to liberate the mRNA from a stalled ribosome. Lineage: Bacteria; Bacillati; Armatimonadota; Armatimonadia; Armatimonadales. RNAcentral also lists the same sequence under 1 other name. The record is from RNAcentral.